AUUGAACGCUGGCGGCAUGCCUUACACAUGCAAGUCGAACGGCAGCACGGGUGCUUGCACCUGGUGGCGAGUGGCGAACGGGUGAGUAAUAUAUCGGAACGUACCUUAUUGUGGGGGAUAACGCAGCGAAAGCUGUGCUAAUACCGCAUAAUCCCUAAGGGGGAAAGCGGGGGACCGUAAGGCCUGGCACAAUUAGAGCGGCCGAUACCUGAUUAGCUAGUUGGUGAGGUAAGGGCUCACCAAGGCAACGAUCAGUAGCUGGUCUGAGAGGACGAUCAGCCACACUGGGACUGAGACACGGCCCAGACUCCUACGGGAGGCAGCAGUGGGGAAUUUUGGACAAUGGGGGCAACCCUGAUCCAGCAAUGCCGCGUGAGUGAAGAAGGCCUUCGGGUUGUAAAGCUCUUUUGCCAGGGAAGAAACAGCAGCUCUAACACAGUUUGCGAAUGACGGUACCUGAAGAAUAAGCACCGGCUAACUACGUGCCAGCCGCCGCCGUAA
Molecule: ribosomal RNA, 501 nt
Filed under: uncultured bacterium
Lineage: Bacteria
Description: partial 16S ribosomal RNA
Rfam family: Bacterial small subunit ribosomal RNA
Source: RNAcentral